RNAcentral lists this ribosomal RNA (429 nucleotides) under uncultured bacterium. RNAcentral's name for it is "bacterial SSU rRNA". It matches the Rfam family "Bacterial small subunit ribosomal RNA", at positions 355 to 776 of the family's 1533-position model. The record is from RNAcentral.
UGGGGAAUAUUGGACAAUGGGGGAAACCCUGAUCCAGCGACGCCGCGUGGAGGAAGAAGGCUUUCGGGUUGUAAACUCCUGUCGUCAGGGACGAAGGUUUGCAGGUGAAUAAUCUGCAGGCUUGACGGUACCUGAGGAGGAAGCACCGGCUAACUCCGUGCCAGCAGCCGCGGUAAUACGGAGGGUGCAAGCGUUGUUCGGAAUUACUGGGCGUAAAGCGUGUCUCGGCGGGUCGGUAAGUUAGAUGUUAAAGACCCAGGCUUAACCUGGGGCGUGCAUUUGAUACUGCCGAUCUUGAGUGACAGAGGGAUGAGCGGAAUUCCUGGUGUAGCAGUGAAAUGCGUAGAGAUCAGGAGGAACACCUGUGGCGAAAGCGGCUCAUUGGCUGUCAACUGACGCUCAAGCACGAAAGCGUGGGUAGCAAACAGG